AUCAGGGUUGACAGUUUAACCUUGAGUCGUCCUAAACACAGGAGUCAAAAGGAUGAAUUAUACAGUAACCAUAUUCAUGUAGGUUCUGAGUGUUGCGAUUGUGACUCUUCGACCUAUCCGGAUGUCGGGUACCAUUGCUAGAUGGUCACUUCGAUUAGUACAGAAAUUGGUUCCUGUGCUACCGGUUUAGGUUCGAACCUGCGGGGUCACACACAUUAGAGAUUCCUAUCUGAUCUGAUGGCUAGUGUAGAAUCCUACAUGUUUGAGACUCAGUGAUCGAGAAUCAAGAUUCUCUGAUCAUGAGUUCCACACAUUAUGGGUACCGGGGUCAAGAGUCCCACUGGUUGGGACUUUUCGAUCAGUGUUACAUAUCGAUGAAUUCUGAUGCCCGAUUGCCCAUCGAAUUUAGACUCAGUAUUUAUGAGAGGUUUAAUUAGUGAUUUGAUCAUUAAUUAACUCAAUUUUAU
RNAcentral lists this long non-coding RNA (467 nucleotides) under Elaeis guineensis (African oil palm). RNAcentral describes it as "long non-coding RNA (EGUI_LNC079754)". Lineage: Eukaryota; Viridiplantae; Streptophyta; Magnoliopsida; Arecales; Arecaceae. The record is from RNAcentral.